AGAGUUUGAUCCUGGCUCAGGAUGAACGCUGGCGGCGUGCCUAAUACAUGCAAGUCGAACGCACAGCGAAAGGUGCUUGCACCUUUCAAGUGAGUGGCGAACGGGUGAGUAACACGUGGACAACCUGCCUCAAGGCUGGGGACAACAUUUGGAAACAGAUGCUAAUACCGAAUAAAACUCAGUGUCGCAUGACACAAAGUUAAAAGGCGCUUUGGCGUCACCUAGAGAUGGAUCCGCGGUGCAUUAGUUAGUUGGUGGGGUAAAGGCCUACCAAGACAAUGAUGCAUAGCCGAGUUGAGAGACUGAUCGGCCACAUUGGGACUGAGACACGGCCCAAACUCCUACGGGAGGCUGCAGUAGGGAAUCUUCCACAAUGGGCGAAAGCCUGAUGGAGCAACGCCGCGUGUGUGAUGAAGGCUUUCGGGUCGUAAAGCACUGUUGUAUGGGAAGAACAGCUAGAAUAGGGAAUGAUUUUAGUUUGACGGUACCAUACCAGAAAGGGACGGCUAAAUACGUGCCAGCAGCCGCGGUAAUACGUAUGUCCCGAGCGUUAUCCGGAUUUAUUGGGCGUAAAGCGAGCGCAGACGGUUGAUUAAGUCUGAUGUGAAAGCCCGGAG
RNAcentral lists this ribosomal RNA (617 nucleotides) under uncultured bacterium. Its description in RNAcentral is "bacterial SSU rRNA". It matches the Rfam family "Bacterial small subunit ribosomal RNA", at positions 8 to 607 of the family's 1533-position model. The record is from RNAcentral.